Molecule: ribosomal RNA, 465 nt
Filed under: Vreelandella stevensii
Lineage: Bacteria; Pseudomonadati; Pseudomonadota; Gammaproteobacteria; Oceanospirillales; Halomonadaceae
Description: partial 16S ribosomal RNA
Rfam family: Bacterial small subunit ribosomal RNA
Source: RNAcentral
CCUACGGGCGGGCAGCAGUGGGGAAUAUUGGACAAUGGGCGAAAGCCUGAUCCAGCCAUGCCGCGUGUGUGAAGAAGGCCUUCGGGUUGUAAAGCACUUUCAGUGGGGAAGAAAGCCUUGGGGCUAAUACCCUCGAGGAAGGACAUCACCCACAGAAGAAGCACCGGCUAACUCCGUGCCAGCAGCCGCGGUAAUACGGAGGGUGCGAGCGUUAAUCGGAAUUACUGGGCGUAAAGCGCGCGUAGGCGGUCUGAUAAGCCGGUUGUGAAAGCCCCGGGCUCAACCUGGGAACGGCAUCCGGAACUGUCAGGCUAGAGUGCAGGAGAGGAAGGUAGAAUUCCCGGUGUAGCGGUGAAAUGCGUAGAGAUCGGGAGGAAUACCAGUGGCGAAGGCGGCCUUCUGGACUGACACUGACGCUGAGGUGCGAAAGCGUGGGUAGCAAACAGGAUUAGAUACCCCGGUAGC